AAACACUGAAACCUUACAGAUUGGGAAAUGAAUCGUGGGCUUUCUUUGGCCCAACACUAUACACGUGCCAUUAAGCCGACAUGUCGUACAGUCAACCACGAUAUAUUAAUUAAUGAAUCUCCCUUCUCCAACGCGUACCUUAUUGUUUCGUGAAUUUUUUCUAAUUUGCCACGUAUGCAAAUUUUAUGAGGUUCCAUGUGAGCGAGCACACACGAUCUCCGCCCCCGACUAUAUAUAUGGAAAUGUAAAAGGCGGGAACCAGAGAUGUAGGGAUGGUCUGAGUUUUGAGUGAGAAUUUCUCUGUGGCGAAAGAAAUGAGGAACGACGAUUAUUCUUUAGAGCGUUUUUACCUUUGGCCUCGUCGGCGCCGCGACAUCCACUUCCUUCGCCGUGUGGUUUACGCUAUUCGUAUGUUUGGAUUGCUUUCAGGAACUGGAUGAUCGGAAGCUUUGGAGGAUAUUUUUCUCUGGAAUAAUCAGCGUCACAGCGUCCAUUAUUGCCGAACUGAUCCUGGGGGAUACGAUUCAAUCAUUCCACUUAGAUGGUUGGUAUAGGGUGACUGACACAUCACGCAGCAAUUGGUAGAUUGACUAUACAGGGACUCCAAGUGAGAGUAUGUGACAUUAUCACUGCUCAGUUUCAGGUCUGGACAGACUGCAUUUGGAGCCAAGGCAAAGCAGUAUCACCCGUAUCAAAACCAGGAAAUAAAGGUGUGAUGGGAAAUCUUUGCCAUUGACUCUUGGAGAAGGCAGGGCAUUAGCAGAUUAGCAUCUUGAAUCGUCCCAAGUGGAGCAAACUGGGUUAGUUGGGACAACUGACUUCGAUGGGAAGAAAAAGCAACGGCAGCUAGAAGGAAAAUCUUUGGAGCCAAAACGGUUUGCCAGAGCCCCUGAUCCAAUCAUCCAAGUGUCAUCUUACAACAGGUGGAGCUCUGUAAUAAGCUGCAAUGGUUUUGGGGAAAAACAUCUGCCUCACACCUUCAGCCUUGAUAAUGGGAAAUAUAAUGGCCGAUGCACCCUACAUACACCACAUGCAAAGGUUAGAAUUCUAUCUAAUGCCAUAUGGAUUGAUUAUCAAGCACUCUAAAAAUGAUUUAAAGCAUUUUAGAACCAUUUUUUAUUUUAAGAAUCGCAUACUUUUUAAAUGAUCUUCGUCAAAUUUUAAAAAUAUUAAAUAAAUAAAUAAUUUUUCAAACGUAUGUUUUUCCAGUUCUGAAACUUAAGCGAACUAUUUACUAGUUUUUUCCUAUAUGGGAAUGGUUAAAAAUUUGGACACGAUUUUAUAAGCAAAAAUAAUAAUAACAAAUAAGACAUUGAUAACUAUCCCCGUCCUUUUUAUCCGAUGACCAAUUAAAUUCUAAAAAAAGUAUCUGAUGACCAAUUAAAUUCUGUUCCUUAAAAAAUAAAAAAGCAGAGUUGAACUUGCAAGUAAAUUUAUAAAAUCUAGGAAGGUAAUUUCUACAAAUAGAUUUUGGUUCUAUUACUUAUAAGCUUAUGUUUCUCUCUAACACUAUUUCUUUAUGUUUUCCUAACUUCUCUCUAAUUAUCUCUUUCGUCAAUUAAUAUGCUUAUGUAUCCUGUUUAAAAAAGGAUAAGCUUUCUAAUGUGGCUAUUUUAGCAUUUUUUUUCU
This is a long non-coding RNA of Cucurbita pepo subsp. pepo (vegetable marrow), 1629 nucleotides long. RefSeq lists it as uncharacterized. The record is from RefSeq and is a predicted model, not a curated record. NCBI's taxonomy places the organism in Eukaryota, Viridiplantae, Streptophyta, Magnoliopsida, Cucurbitales, Cucurbitaceae.